This 229-nucleotide ribosomal RNA is filed under the name uncultured bacterium. RNAcentral describes it as "partial 16S ribosomal RNA". It matches the Rfam family "Bacterial small subunit ribosomal RNA", at positions 568 to 796 of the family's 1533-position model. The record is from RNAcentral.
UGCGUAGGCGGAAGAUUAAGUCAGUGAUGAAAUCCUGCAGCUCAACUGUAGAACUGUCAUUGAUACUGAUUUUCUUGAAUACAGUUGAGGUAGGCGGAAUGUGUAAUGUAGCGGUGAAAUGCUUAGAUAUUACACAGAACACCGAUUGCGAAGGCAGCUUACUAAGCUAUGAUUGACGCUGAGGUACGAAAGCGUGGGGAGCGAACAGGAUUAGAUACCCUGGUAGUCC